This 253-nucleotide ribosomal RNA is filed under the name uncultured prokaryote. RNAcentral's name for it is "partial 16S ribosomal RNA". It matches the Rfam family "Bacterial small subunit ribosomal RNA", at positions 524 to 776 of the family's 1533-position model. The record is from RNAcentral.
UACGUAGGCAGCAAGCGUUGUUCGGAAUUGCUGGGCGUAAAGAGUGCGUAGGCGGUUGGCUAAGUUUGGUGUGAAAUCUCCCGGCUUAACCGGGAGGGUGCGCCGAAUACUGAGGGACUAGAGUACGGGAGAGGAAAGUGGAAUUCCUGGUGUAGCGGUGAAAUGCGUAGAUAUCAGGAGGAACACCGGUGGUGUAGACGGCUUUCUGGACCGACACUGACGCUGAAACACGAAAGCGUGGGUAGCAAACAGG